Long non-coding RNA from Pezoporus flaviventris, 683 nucleotides. RefSeq lists it as uncharacterized. Lineage: Eukaryota; Metazoa; Chordata; Aves; Psittaciformes; Psittacidae. The transcript is spliced from 3 exons. The record is from RefSeq and is a predicted model, not a curated record.
CUUGGUAUGUCUGUGAGGUCAGAAACACACCUGCCUUGGCUAGUGCUGGCCAUCCACACCAGGGCUGUAACCCUGCUGCAGCAGGGCUGGCUGCGGAGGAGCCAGGUCCCUGCCACUGCCACCUCCUACACUACAGUGCUCACUGAGGCAGAGGGCUGAAGCCUCCCAUCACAGCACCAAAGCUGCAAUCUCCCUGGUUUAUAUAGCACUGUAAGCACCACUGCUAACCCCAUAUUAACUUUGGAAUCCUAGCUGAGUAAAAUCAUAGAAUCACAGAAUAGUUUGGGUUAGAAGCGACCUUCAAAGCUCAUCUACUCCAACACUCCUGCAAUGAGCAGGGACAUCUUCAACUAGAUCACGCUGCCCAGAACCGCAUCCAGCCUGGCCUUGAAUGUCUCCAUGGAUGAAGCAUCCACCGCCUCUCUGGGAAACCUGUGCCAGUGCUUCACCACCCUCAUUGUGGAACAGCGUUUGACUGAGAGGGACUGAAUACCCAUCCUCUGCUCAGCACUGGCACCAGUAAGUGGAAUGAUGAAGUUCAAACACCCAUCUUGAGACAAUACAAUUUGGAGGUUUGCCUCAAGCAGAUGAACAUCUCGCCGUUGGUAUGGCCUUUCAGCCAGUGGUAUAUCAAGGUCAGAUGAUGCCAGGGAAUUUAAUAAAAAACAUAAAGUAUUUCUAAA